UGGAAACCUAGUGAAAUAUUUGUUAGUGGCGGACGGGUGAGUAACGCGUGGGUAACCUGCCGUAUACCGGGGGAUAACACUUAGAAAUAGGUGCUAAUACCGCAUAAGCGCACAAUGCCGCAUGGCAAGGUGUGAAAAACUCCGGUGGUAUACGAUGGACCCGCGUCUGAUUAGCCAGUUGGCAGGGUAACGGCCUACCAAAGCGACGAUCAGUAGCCGGCCUGAGAGGGUGAACGGCCACAUUGGGACUGAGACACGGCCCAAACUCCUACGGGAGGCAGCAGUGGGGGAUAUUGCACAAUGGGGGAAACCCUGAUGCAGCGACGCCGCGUGAGUGAAGAAGUAUUUCGGUAUGUAAAGCUCUAUCAGCAGGGACGAAAAUGACGGUACCUGAGUAAGAAGCCCCGGCUAACUACGUGCCAGCAGCCGCGGUAAUACGUAGGGGGCAAGCGUUAUCCGGAUUUACUGGGUGUAAAGGGAGCGUAGACGGUUGUGCAAGUCUGGAGUGAAAGGCGGGGGCUCAACCCCCGGACUGCUCUGGAAACUGUGUAACUGGAGUGCAGGAGGGGUAAGCGGAAUUCCUAGUGUAGCGGUGAAAUGCGUAGAUAUUAGGAGGAACACCGGUGGCGAAGGCGGCUUACUGGACUGUAACUGACGUUGAGGCUCGAAAGCGUGGGGAGCAAACAGGAUUAGAUACCCUGGUAGUCCACGCCGUANACGGUGAUUACUAGGUGUCGGUGGGUAAUAACNCAUCGGUGCCGUCGCAAACGCAAUAAGUAAUCCA
This 784-nucleotide ribosomal RNA is filed under the name uncultured bacterium. Its description in RNAcentral is "bacterial SSU rRNA". It matches the Rfam family "Bacterial small subunit ribosomal RNA", at positions 76 to 871 of the family's 1533-position model. The record is from RNAcentral.